UGCGUAGGCGGUCCGUUAAGUCAGUGGUGAAAUCCAGCAGCUCAACUGCUGAACUGCCAUUGAUACUGGCGGACUUGAGUACGGACGAGGUAGGCGGAAUUUAUGGUGUAGCGGUGAAAUGCAUAGAUACCAUAAAGAACACCGAUAGUGAAGGCAGCUUACUAGACCGUAACUGACGCUCAGGCACGAAAGCGUGGGGAGCGAACAGGAUUAGAUACCCUGGUAGUCC
Molecule: ribosomal RNA, 229 nt
Filed under: uncultured bacterium
Lineage: Bacteria
Description: partial 16S ribosomal RNA
Rfam family: Bacterial small subunit ribosomal RNA
Source: RNAcentral